GUCCAGUGUAUGAGGCUGAGAAAGAGCUUGAGAGUGAGGAAGGAAGAGAGGGAAGAAGACAGAGUUCAUAGGAAAGCCAAGAGGAGUCCUCCCGGAACACCUCACAAAUAUCAGCCGCAGGAGGGCCACAGAAGCAAGACCCUCAGUGGAAUUUUCACAACUUGAGAAGGUCGCAGCGGGCACCACAGCCUUCCUUUUCGUUUAUGCCUUCUCCCUCAGGAGAGACUUCUCAGGACAGUCUCCAUGAUUACACCAUGCUUUCAAAUUGUUUCGAGUCACUGAAGAGAAUGCACAUGCCUAGAGACGGCACAAUCAAAUCUGAGUAUUCCCCAAACUAUAAAAGACCAACCACAGAAGCCAGGAAAGUAAGAAAGGACCGUGGAGGGAGGAGCCCUAGAAGAAGGGAAUAGCAGGAUACAAAUGGUAUGAUGCAGUAAAUGGGAAAAAAUAAGGAGGAAUACUUUAAUGGAGGGAGAAGUGUGCAGUACAGAAGGAGGAGGGAGGACAAAGAACAUUCAGAAUGUUUGAAAAGCCUUUAGGAAGCAUUAUUUUGUAUUCACCUCAAACUAUGAACAAUAUAUAGGCAUAUCUAUCUAUCUAUCUAUCUAUAUAUCUCUUAUGUAUUUUUCUAUCUUUUUAUGGAAGCAAGUUAUGCUACUUGGUCUGACAAUAUCCCCCAUCAAAAUCCAUAGACCUUCAAGCAAAAGCCCUAGCAUCAGGCAUGACAGGACCUCCUUUCCAGAUGUUGGUCAGGGUAGUUCAAGGGAACUCACAAAACAAUAUAGGCGACCACUGUUGCUCUCGGUUGCCUCUCAGAGGAUGAAGUAAAGGCCACCAUGCACUUCUAACAUAGGACUCAGAAGAUUCAAACUGGAUCUAACCUGGAAAGCCUCCUCUUGGAGGACCGGAUUUCACACACAGGAAGGUGCUUUGCCAGUUGCCAAAGAAGAAAAGCAAUCAGUUCACCCACCCAGCUGUGAUGUUUAUGAACCACAGUAACAGCCAGUGCAGCAAGAUAUCCCUAAAAGUGCAAUAGUGGCACGCGUAUCGUGGCCAGCGGUAACCAAUAGCUCUCUAAUUGGACUUAAGGGCUGCUCUACGGGAGGGAAAUUAUGUCUGGAUCUGGAAACCUAGUCAGCGACCCACGGCUAUUAAGGUAAUGGAUCUUAGAAGAGAACCCACUAUUGCCGCUUUCCUAGACCAGCCUAACUCCUAAUUGCUUUCUGAAUAUUUAUCCUCACACCUACAGGUAAAUGUAGCUCCCCUUUCUCAUCAGCAGAUGAAGCAACACUGCAGGGAACUACAGCUGGUCAAAGCACACAGAAUAACUGACAAUGGAGCGUCCUGCCUCAGCGGACGUAUCUACAACACAACUCCUGUAGCUAAGGCUCCAGUGGGCAUGACCAAAGAGGGGCCAGAAAGAGGGUGCGGGCCAGAGGACCAAGAAGUCUUCUGUGGUAUUAUGUCUCCAAAAGAAAAUGAUAGGAAAGCUACCCCUGCCCCAUGAGAGUGCAGUGAUUUGGCUGCCAGAGGAAGACCUCAACAAUGCCAGUAGACAUGCUAAGGUAGAAGGAGGGAUUCUCAUGGGGCCCUACCCCAUGACAAGGAACCACACAGACAAUGAAGGAUAAGUGAGAGACAGAGAAUUAGUCUUCCUCAGGGAUAAGCUUCUUAACUGGUUACCCAGUAUCAAGUGGUCAGCCCUGAGGUUAUGUACAUGUAAGCACUAUAUUUUUCUCUCUCUGUGUUUCUGUCUGUCUCUUUCUCUCUACCUCUCUUUCUGUUUCUCUCUGUGUGUCUCUGUCUUUGUCUCUGUCUCUCUCUCUGUUUCUCCAUCUCUCUCUCUCUCUCUCUCUCUCUCUCUCUCUCUCUCUCUCUCUUUCUGUGUGUGUGUACCAAACUGACACAUGCUAGUGUUUUCUGGGAAAAAGAACCUUAGGUGAAGGAAAAAAAAAAAAGGCCUCUAUCCGAUUGUCUGUUGGCAAAUGUAUAAAACCUUUUCUCAGUUGGUGUUUGUUGUGGCAGGGCCAGCCUAUAGCAUUCUGCCUGGGCAGGUCAUCUUGAGUUGUCUAAGAAAGUGAACUGAACAAGCCAUGGGAAGCAAGUCAGGAGCUGCAUACCUCCAUCAUCCCUUCUUCAGUUCCUGCCUCCGGGUUCCUUCACGGUGUUCCUACCCCUGUCUUCUCCCCAUGAAGAAGAUCUGGGAGCUGAAAUAAACCCUUUUCUUCCCCAAGCCGUUUUGGUUGUGGUCUUUAUCACAGUAGAAACCUAACAAGACAAUAUGUAACCCUAACAAUCAAAGAACAAGAAGUCAUGAGUUUGAGAGUAAGGAAGUGAGGGAUGGGAAGCAAGAGUUGAAGGGAGGGAACAGGGGAAGGGUUUGAGGGAUGAAAAGUGAGGGCUUGUAUAUGCUCAGCCCAGGGAGUAGCACUAUUAGAAGGUGUGGCCCUGUUGGAGUGGGUGUGUCACUGUGGGUGUGGCCUUAAGACCCUCAUUCUAGCUGCCUGGAAGCCAGUAUUCUGCUAGCAGCCUUCAGAUGAAGAUGCAGAACUCUCAGCUCCUCCUGGACCAUGCCUGCCUGGACUCUGCCAUGUUCUUGCCUUGAUGGUAGUGGGUUGAACCUCUGAACCUGUAACCCAGCUGCUAUUAAAUGGUGUUCUUUAUAAGAGUUACCUUGGUCAUGGUGUCUGUUCACAGCAGUAAACCCCUAGCUAAAACAAAAAGGAAGAGGGGAAAUUAAGUGAUUGUACUUUAAUUUAAAAAAAUAAAAUGACACAUAAUUUUUCCACUAUAACCAAUCUUUUCAAAGGUGAAAAUUGCUGGAAGAACCUAUCUUGGCUCCUCUGAACUAUUUCCUCUAAUUCCCAGAUCCUUGGAAAUCCUGUUCAGCAUUGACUUAUACACAGAAGAGAAAGAGAUAUCCUUCUAUUCCUCUACUAAUUCUUUUCAUGUCCUUUAAUCAAUUCAUUUGUCUCAAUAAUAAUUUCCUAAGUCAGUUUUGCACCACCAUGGUUCUAGGCACUAAAGAGGUAAAAGAUGAAAAAUACAAUUAUUGCUCUCUAGAAGGUAAUACCCAAUAUCCAGCGUCCACGGGAAAAGCCAAGGGGACUUGGCCAAGCACCCACAGUCUUCUAACUCCAAGCACACAUGGUACCCUAAGUGCUCAUAUGUCUUGUCUAAUAUCACAUGAUGACCUUGGACACUCCUGUCUUCAUUCAGAGGCUCGGGGACAUUACAUACUUGUCCAGGCCCUGCCAUCCAUGUGUCAUGACCUGGGGAUCCAAGCGAGAUUUUAUGUCCGUCUUAAUUUUUCUAUGUCGUGCUUUCCCAUCCUCCAGUACUGCUCUGUAUCCCAUAAUUCAAUCCUGGAACUCUAUUUCCCUCUCCCCUCUUAAGUCUAAAGCUGAUAAUGCUGAGGGGGCUGGAGGAACACGUGUUCUAAGAGCCUCGGUCCCAACAGUGUGGGAAUUUUCACUCUACUGUUUUUUUUUUCAGGAUCUGAGUUCAUUUCGAGCUGACUUUCUAUUUCCACAGAAACAAAAGUUUAAUGGUGGCAAACACCCACACAAUGUGAUUUUCAACAAAAAAUAUUUUUACAAAAGAGAGUCCGAUGAUGUACAAAGAACAUGUUGUGCAGGAAGUAACUCGUGCAUAACACUCAGACAUUUGAGGGAGCCAGCGAUUGGGAUGUAGGUGUUUAGAACUAGUCUGACAAUAUGCUAUUCACUUUGUUGUUGUUGUUGUUGUUCUUGUUUUUUGGUUUUUCGAGACAAGGUUUCUUUGUGUAGCCCUGGCUGUCCUGGAACUCACUUUGUAGACCAGGCUGGCCUUGAACUCAGAAAUCCACCUGCCUCUGCCUCCCCAGUGCUGGGAUUAAAGGCGUGUGCCACCACUGCCCCGCUGCUAUUGACUUUCAAGUGUGUCUGGAUUUGCUUAGCAUUAGAAAGAGCAUCUAUCUAAGCCCAGUUUAACUUAUAUACUUUGUCGUAUUAAAGGACUUAAAGUCAUACCUUAGACUUCAGGUUAAAAUCUAGUGGAGUAUCAUCUAGAGUUUAUAAAGCACUAUUUGAUUUGAGUGGAUGUCUCCACUCACGUGAGUAAGCACAAGCCUAUCGUUUAUUAUUUUAUUGCCUAGGAGCAAUGGUAUGAGUCACAUGCUGGGCUACUCAUGUGUAACGUAUUAGUGAGAGAGCAUUUGUCUUUAUUUACAGUUCCUGCCUUAGGACCAUUGGUCAGCCUCUUUGGGACCAGCCUGCAGCUGACCCAUAGCCCUGAUGCCCCAUUGAUGGAAAGUGACAAGGCUGUAGGAUGAAGGCUGUGCUUAUGUAAGAAGGGGCCUGAUGACAUCACAUCCACUUCUUGAUUUAGAAGGCUCAGGAGCUCACGGAACAGCACAGUGCCCUAACCUACUGCAUGCAGACGGACACACUGCAGGGAUUGCUGGUUUUAGGCUGGAUUUCAAGGUGAACCAGGUUAGAAGAUUCAAGGAGAGACUUGGGAAGUUAUUGAUUUUUUCUGCUUCCUACAUUGGUUGAUUAGCCCCAUACGUGGUGUUUGAUUAAUGUCUGAGAGCUCUAAUUAGCAAUGUCUAAUCGGCUCCACAUACUCUUGGGCUAUUGAUUCCUGCCUCCAGAGAACUAAUCCAAUUGCACUCCUUACCAUUAGUAAGCUCCUGCUGUGCUGGGGUGACCGCCUGCAUGUUGGAAAGUUUACCCUAUGAAGGGCUUUGAGAUGGGGCAGAGGGGCUAGACGUUAGUUGGACAAAUGCUGGCUUUUAUCUCUGUGGUGCUGCUUCCCCCCAGCCCCCAAAUUGAUGAGUUUCCUUGCCAAGGUUUUCAGAAGAAGGGAAGAGUGUAUCUUGUGAACCACAUGGACAAAGUAGAAACCCAAAGCCUAAUGGCUUCUCUUACUUAGUUGACCAGUGCCUAUUUUCCUGCCACACUCAAAUGAUGGCAUUUCUACUAUAAUAAUACGGACAUUUUCCUUGGCUCCAUUUAUGGCUUUCUUCCCAAUUUAUUUG
Molecule: long non-coding RNA, 5020 nt
Filed under: Mus musculus (house mouse)
Lineage: Eukaryota; Metazoa; Chordata; Mammalia; Rodentia; Muridae
Description: predicted gene, 29676
Source: RNAcentral